GUGGGGAAUCUUCCGCAAUGGGCGAAAGCCUGACGGAGCAACGCCGCGUGAGUGAAGACGGCCUUCGGGUUGUAAAGCUCUGUUAUAUGGGACGAACGGGUGUAUGGUCAAUACCCAUACGCCGUGACGGUACCGUAAGAGAAAGCCACGGCUAACUACGUGCCAGCAGCCGCGGUAAUACGUAGGUGGCAAGCGUUGUCCGGAAUCAUUGGGCGUACAGGGCGCGCAGGCGGUUCGGUAAGUCGGUCUUAAAAGUGCGGGGCUUAACCCCGUGAUGGGAUUGAAACUGCCGGACUGGAGUGUCGGAGAGGAAAGCAGAAUUCCUAGUGUAGCGGUGAAAUGCGUAGAUAUUAGGAGGAAUACCAGUGGCGAAAGCGGCUUUCUGGACGACAACUGACGCUGAGGCGCGAAAGCCAGGGGAGCAAACGGGAUUAGAUACCCGAGUAGUCC
Molecule: ribosomal RNA, 450 nt
Filed under: uncultured bacterium
Lineage: Bacteria
Description: partial 16S ribosomal RNA
Rfam family: Bacterial small subunit ribosomal RNA
Source: RNAcentral